RNAcentral lists this ribosomal RNA (249 nucleotides) under uncultured bacterium. Its description in RNAcentral is "partial 16S ribosomal RNA". It matches the Rfam family "Bacterial small subunit ribosomal RNA", at positions 57 to 305 of the family's 1533-position model. The record is from RNAcentral.
GCAAGUCGAGGGGUAACAGGGAGCUUGCUCCGCUGACGACCGGCGCACGGGUGAGUAACGCGUAUGCAACCUACCGUACACAGGGGAACAGCCCGGUGAAAACCGGAUUAAUGCCCCAUACCCCCCCCGCCCCGCAUGGUGCGGGGGGCAAAGAUUCAUCGGUGUACGAUGGGCAUGCGUGACAUUAGCUUGAUGGUAGGGUAACGGCCUACCAUGGCAUCGAUGUCUAGGGGUUCUGCAAGGAAGGCC